Molecule: unclassified non-coding RNA, 495 nt
Filed under: Ascochyta phacae
Lineage: Eukaryota; Fungi; Ascomycota; Dothideomycetes; Pleosporales; Didymellaceae
Description: sequence contains 18S rRNA gene, ITS1, 5.8S rRNA gene, ITS2, 28S rRNA gene
Rfam family: 5.8S ribosomal RNA (bases 196-349)
Source: RNAcentral
AGGAAGUAAAAGUCGUAACAAGGUUUCCGUAGGUGAACCUGCGGAAGGAUCAUUACCUAGAGUUUGUGGGCUUUGCCCGCUACCUCUUACCCAUGUCUUUUGAGUACUUACGUUUCCUCGGCGGGUCCGCCCGCCGAUUGGACAAAAUUAAACCCUUUGCAGUUGCAAUCAGCGUCUGAAAAACAUAAUAGUUACAACUUUCAACAACGGAUCUCUUGGUUCUGGCAUCGAUGAAGAACGCAGCGAAAUGCGAUAAGUAGUGUGAAUUGCAGAAUUCAGUGAAUCAUCGAAUCUUUGAACGCACAUUGCGCCCCUUGGUAUUCCAUGGGGCAUGCCUGUUCGAGCGUCAUUUGUACCUUCAAGCUUUGCUUGGUGUUGGGUGUUUGUCUCGCCUUUGCGUGUAGACUCGCCUUAAAACAAUUGGCAGCCGGCGUAUUGAUUUCGGAGCGCAGUACAUCUCGCGCUUUGCACUCAUAACGACGACGUCCAAAAGUA